Molecule: transfer RNA, 68 nt
Filed under: Terrapene carolina (common box turtle)
Lineage: Eukaryota; Metazoa; Chordata; Testudines; Emydidae
Also listed under: 1 other name
Description: tRNA-Val
Rfam family: tRNA
About the family: Transfer RNA (tRNA) molecules are approximately 80 nucleotides in length.
Source: RNAcentral
CAAAACAUAGCUUAAUAAAAAGCAUUCAGCUUACACCUGAAAGAUGUCUAUUAAAACGACUAUUUUGA